RNAcentral lists this long non-coding RNA (1505 nucleotides) under Vulpes vulpes (red fox). RNAcentral's name for it is "lncRNA (ENSVVUG00000007893.1)". Lineage: Eukaryota; Metazoa; Chordata; Mammalia; Carnivora; Canidae. The record is from RNAcentral.
ACUAAAUCAUGUUCUUUUCUGGACAAGUGUAUAAGGGAGCAGACUAUUGAGAUCAAUAGAUUUAAAAAAAUGUCCUUAAGGAAUUAGCAUUUCUUCAUGUUCAUGAACCCAAACAAUAUUAUAAACAUUUUGAGGCAAAUACUAGCUGUGCUGGCCUUUUUCUCUCAGUAGGAGGCUGUCAAUCUUUCCAAAUUACAGGCCUUUGGCCAUGUGGUUCCUUCAAUGGGAGAAUUUUGCCUGUCUCCCUGGAGUGCUGGUUCCAGCUCAAACUUCAUAUGUGAACUUAAAGUGAUCCUGUCAGUUGGCUGUCCAAAAUUCCUUAUAGAAAGCUGAAAAUUCCUUCUGCACCCCCCCUUUUUUCUCUAACAAAGUAACUUGGUCAUUCCCCUAUUUAGCACUUAGCACAAAUUUAUGUAAUAUAUGUUUAUUUACUUUUCUUACUAAAUGAUCUUUUGCUAUACUGUAUGAUCUAUAAGGGCAGACACUGUGUCUGUUUUAUUUGCCACUGUGAGCUAGGUAUUUACCUAACUCAGUACUUGGUACAUGGUUGAAGUGGGGGGAAAAAUUGCCAUAUGAAUUAAUACCUCUCACACAUUAUUUAAGUGAUUAAAAUUUUAGUGAUUAAAAUUUAUUUAAACAAGAAGCUUAAAUAAGGAUAUUUCUUCUAACAUUCCUCUAGGUAUUUCUUGCUCCUUUGUCCUUUGAUAUAACAUCCACUUUGACACUGCUUCAUAGCUUCAUUGACUAAAAUGAAAAAUAUACAAAAACUAUCAGUUUGCUCAUCUCACCUUACAGCCAGUGUUUUCUGAUGUUUCAAAAAACCAUUCACAGGCAGGUUUCCCUGAUCCAUGAUCACAAUGGAGGGAAAUGUGAUAGGGGAGCUCCAGGUCACCAUCACACAAUGAAGACUUCCAGGUGCUUAGACUCAAAACAUCUAGACAGUUCAGAAGUUGAGAGGAAUCUUCCAGUAAAUUCUGCUAUUGGAAAUCCUCUGGGCCUGAGGUCCUCACCAAUUAACUUCUUUUUCAUGGGUCUUUGAUAAGAAUACCUGAGUCAAUUCUCAAAGCAUCAGUAUAUUUGCAACAGGCUAGCAAGGGGAAAUGAUUUUUUUCCGGCUGAAGAGAAAACAUGUUUAAGGCUAGUAAAAGCCUCUUUUUUUUCUUUUUUUUUUAUCUGAAACUUCUUUAUUACCCUGAGUAUGACAAAUAGAACACAGUCACAGUAUAAAGAACAGAGCCGAAGAAAGUGCAGGCAAUGACACAUGGGUACAAGCUCCUUUCAGGGUCUGCAGCUCUUUACUUGGAAAAAGCCAGUUAGGAUUGUAAAAUUUUUCUCUUUAAUAAUAAUAAUUCCACUAAAAUUAUACAAAGUACUUUCAAUACUUAAGGGUAGUGAGGAAGAUCAUCAGUCAGUUCCAACAAAGGAAGCCCAGCUGGGCUGGAGAAGUUGGGGGUGGAGGUCCGGUUGUAAAAAAUAAAAAUGUGGAUCGGUUAAGAAAAAGGCCA